AUUGAACGCUGGCGGCAGGCCUAACACAUGCAAGUCGAGCGGAUGAAGGGAGCUUGCUCCUGGAUUCCGCGGCGGACGGGUGAGUAAUGCCUAGGAAUCUGCCUUGUAGUGGGGGAUAACGUCCGGAAACGGGCGCUAAUACCGCAUACGUCCUGAGGUAGAAAGUGGGGGUUCUUCGGACCUCACGCUAUCAGAUGAGCCUAGGUCGGAUUAGCUAGUUGGUGGGGUAAAGGCCUACCAAGGCGACGAUCCGUAACUGGUCUGAGAGGAUGAUCAGUCACACUGGAACUGAGACACGGUCCAGACCCCUACGGGAGGCAGCAGUGGGGAAUAUUGGACAAUGGGCGAAAGCCUGAUCCAGCCAUGCCGCGUGUGUGAAGAAGGUCUUCGGAUUGUAAAGCACUUUAAGUUGGGAGGAAGGGCAGUAAGUUAAUACCUUGCUGUUUUGACGGUACCAACAGAAUAAGCAACGGCUAACUUCGUG
This 484-nucleotide ribosomal RNA is filed under the name uncultured bacterium. RNAcentral describes it as "partial 16S ribosomal RNA". It matches the Rfam family "Bacterial small subunit ribosomal RNA", at positions 30 to 507 of the family's 1533-position model. The record is from RNAcentral.